AACAAUGGAGCAAAGUAGGUCAAGUUAACCAACAACUGAGGUGAAGUAAGGACGCCUUUUUUUCCUUUUUUCUUUUUUUUUUUUUAAGAAAAGUUAUCCAGGCACCAGAAACAUUAAAAAACAACACAAACUGUAUAACAGUCAUGAAAGACAAUGCCCCAGAGUUGAAUUUCCAAAGAUAGCCAACCUGAAGAGAUCAUCCUAAAAUGCACGUGUGAGUAUGUCACUGAAAUACAGAAUAAAGGUAUGCCCAUAAACAAAUCUGUUAUCCAUCGAAUAGAAAGCAAGUUAUUAUUAUUAUUAUUAUUAUUAUUAUUAUUGCAUUUUUAAAAAAUGAUACCAUAAAUACUUAUCCGAUCACAUUUUGUUCCAUUGUAAUCUGACAGUUGAAUUUAAAAGACCAUUCAAUGUGUUUGUUUUAUCAUUAUGUUCAUUGUAGGUUUAUUUAAUUAAACCACAAAUUAGUAAAAAAAAAUUGAAAAAAAGAAAAGAAAACUUUCAAAACACUUUUUUUGUGUUUCUCUAAAAUUAGGACUUGAAAAGAGGCAUCAUGGGUUAAAGCUGCCUGAAAAUAACCUCCAUCCCACUUUAUCAAGGAUCAUGGUUUUUGAUGCAUGUUGAAUCUUGUUGUUUUGUAUUUCUUUUUGACAUGUUGUCAAAAGUCAGCAGUUUAUGCUCUGGGUAUAAUACUGUAUUAACCCCCCUGUCUCUUUGGUAAAAGUCCUGCUUUGUUCAAACAGUUUAAUUACUGACUUUAGCUGAAUCUUUCCUGUGCUUAUAUGGUACAUAGUAGGUCAGAGCAUGUAUAAAACCACCAGUUUUUUGUAUCCAGUUUAAGCCUGUUGCUUCUCAUAAAGACUCUCAAAGGUACCUCGUCCGUCUCCAAGAGACACUGAGGGUUUUGACAAAGUGUUGAUAUUUCAGAACUUUCAAAGUGAGUACAGACAGGCAGUUAUGGUAUUGGGGGGAUGGGGUGUAAAGUGCACUUAAAAUUGUUCUAUUAAGUGCUCCAAUCUUUGUGUCCUAUGGUUUUCUGCUAUUAAGAGAGGCUGUUAAUGUAAGGAGCCACACAGUGCCAAAGCCCACAGCUCUUGGAACAAAGUCCCAGCUGUAGUAAUAAAACCUUUUACCAGCGAAAGGGACACACAUUUCCCCCCAAAACCUGUCUGGAGCAAUGCAGUUCUUUUAGACUCACAGUGGUGAUCAAGAAAGACAUAAAAGGCAAAAUUGAAGCUUUCUAGUUAGCACAACCAGAAAGCUUUGCAGUAAGACUAAAAAAAAAACAUGUCCUCGAUGCCAUUCAUCACUUUAUUUGCUUUUUUCCCCCUUUCGCUCAGUGCACAAUGACCUACUGUGUAUGCUAAGCUGGCUAUCAGUCAUUUGUUUACUACUUUCCCUGUGCAUUCUGGGAUACUUUGGGCCCAGUGUGUUGAUUAAAUUAAUCACCACCCCAUACUUAAUAAGCACUAAAACUGGUCAUCUCACAAACUGGACAUCUGAGUGAUUUUUUUUAACAUGCUGGGGGUGUUAGUUGAGGUUGGGGAUCCACAAUACUCUAAGUUGAUCUAAUUAUUUUUAUUGCCUAAACCCAAUGACUGUUUCUUAACUGUAAAGUAUAACAAAUGCAAGAGUUUGAGAAUUGAUGGCUCCGGCCAUUAAUUUGUUUCCGCCACAAAUUUAGUCAUCACUGCAGUUAAGCACUGAUACCUCCCAUCCCUUUUUUCUUCAUAAUUCGAUUAGUUGAAAAUAUUCCACCGUAGCUUCUGCAUCCAGAAAAUCACUUUAAGCCAAAAACAUAAUUAGUUUUGGAUAAUAGCUACAGUGGCAGUGGGAUCGCAGAUGAGCUCUUUACUUAAAGACACAUAUACUCCAGCGAUUUAUUCCUACCAAAUGCCAAAUUCUCCAUCAUGCUCACUGUCGAUGUUUUGAAACUCAAUUUCAUUCACAGCUGAGUUCCAAAAUGUCAUCAGUGAGUUGAUGAGCAUGCUGUUGGAAACGACGGUAGAAAAUCCUGAUCAGAUUUUGCACAGCACAGCCUAUGAGGAAUAUAAUUGUGCUUUUUCCUCAGACUCUAGAAAAUAGUCAUAAAAAAUCCCUGCCUCCAAACUUCCACAUCUUUCAACCACAGGUACUUUCCUCUCAAACAAACAACAGGCAACAGAAUGACGCACAGGCUUAGCUGCUUGACAACAUGCUCACAGUCGUUAUAAUGAGGACCGCAAUGACUGAUAAGAGCCGUGAUGUCAUUGGUUCAGCAGUUUCUCCGGAUUUGAACAUUCAAAUCAUUUUUUCAGCCUAACACCCAACAACAAUAAUAACACUGCCUCGCUGCAGCCCUGCACAGUUGGUAUUAAAUAAAUUCUUGGAAAAAGGACCUUAUUCAAAACCUCUAUGUGAAGUGGCCCUCAUGUCGUCCCUUAGGCUGUUGAAAUAUUCUAGUCAUCAACACAGUCUCUGUUUUAAACAGACCUAAGCAUUUCAAAACCAAAGUGAAGCACAUCAAAACUGAUUGUCAAAAGGCAGUCUGACUAUCCUGGGAUCAACACAAAACUAUUUGAAAGGAUUUUAAAAAUAAAUACACAAGUACAAGAACUUUAUUGAUCCCCAAAGAGGAAACUUGUUUGUCCGGAGUCUAAUCUCUAUAUGUCCAGAGAUGGUACUGAUUCCUCUCCACACCUCACUGAUGUUGCUCUGCCAUCUUUGCCAUCUUCAGUCUCCUCUUCAACGCGUGUUUCAUUUGUUUGAGUCGUUCUUUGUCGCUGUCUCUAAAAGCUUCCCUUUUUUCUGGUUGAGGAUUUACUUUAUGUCACUUGUGAUCCAGGGUUUGUUGUUGAGGAAACACAAUCUUUGCAGGUAUAAAUUGUGUUUCUGCAGAAGUUGAUGUAUCCAGUAAAGCAGUCUUUCUGUCUGUCAAUGUUCAUAUGGUCUCGUCUGUUUCCAGCAGCACAGUCCAGUCUGUUGAUUUAAAACAGUCCCUUUUAGAGCUUCACUAGCUUGAGGAGUCCAUCUUCUGAUUUGCAGAUAGACCAAGUCAUGAUUUGACUUGCCCAGUGUUGGUAAGGCAGUGGCUCUGUAAGCUUCUUUGACGUUGGCAUACAGCAGAUCCAGGGUUUUGUUUUCUCUGGUAGGACAGUUAACAAACUGUGUGAUUCCAGUCAGGUGAGAGGAGAGGGUGAUAUGGCUGAAGUCUCCCUCUAUUAUUGUAAGUGCCUCAGGGUGUUGAGUCCAUAUCCUAGCAACAGUAUCAUGCAAAACAUUGCAUGGGAUUUCAACCAUUGCCUUGGGUGGGAUGUAAAUAGGUAUUGUUAUGAUUUGACUAAAUUCUCUUGGAACAUAAUAUGGUCGAAGGGCAUCUGCCAGGACUUCAAUAACUUGACAACACAACUUCUCCUUGACCCCCUCAUUUCCUCUUGCCACUAGCUUUAGCAUCUCUGUUUGAGCUUAUAUGAGUGUAGCCAGGUAGAUCCACACUGGAGUCCGAGUUGUUUUGAUUCAACCAGGUUUCAGUAAAACACAGGAGACUGCAGUCACAGUAUACUUUCUCAGCCUUCCCCAAUGUCUCCAGCUUGUCACUUUUGCUGGGCAGAGUUGACGUUUCCCAUGACGACUAAUGGGAGAAAGGGUUUAUAUCUCCAUUCCCUAGCCUUCAACCUUGCCUUCAGCUGUGUACCAGCAUGGCAACCAGGAUAACGCCUCCUGAUGUCCUCUGGAUUUCAAUGUUGUUGUUCAAAUCUGCUCUGUUUCAAUGAAAGAAGCUCUUCUCUUGAAUAAAAUCUUCUCCCAGCAGAAAUAUUCAUCCACAGCCAACAAAACACAACAUGCACAUGAGAAAAAUUGAGCAAAAAUUGAAGAAAAUUCAGACUUUGCAGGCACCAUUUGGUUUAAGCAUAGAUCUUAGAAUGAAUGGUGUUUCACCCGCUUGCAGUGUAGGAGACAUAUCUUUGAAAUUAGAGGUAAGUUAGCAUACAAAGAUGUUUUCCCUAAAAUGAGUCACUAGAGUUGGAAUCAGAGGCAUCCUGGCCAUGAUACAAGCUCCGGAAUUGCAGUAAAGGUACAACAAACUCAAAAUUUGUGCUGAUUUAUAAAGAAUUGUGGUUUCUUUUGCAUUGGUCUUAACAGUGUUGACAGUACUACUAACAAUUCUCUCGGGUUAAUCACUGAAUAAUGCAGAGAAGGAAGUGGAUGAGCGUUUUUAACUUAACAGCUCUAAGGUGAUACUGGGGGAAAAAAAAUAAAAAAUAAAAUAAUGACUUUGAGUUGUUGUACAAAUUGAUGACAUGACAGAAGAUGAAUCGCUGUUCAAUAAAUCUGAUUUUGAUUUACAUGAUGAAAUUUGCCCCUAACAAUUACAGAAACAUGAUAAUCAAGACUAAACAAAGUUUGGGAGCAUAAGGAAGUUGCUAAGAUUAGUUCAUAGGUGAUGGCCUUUGAUGAUCGUUAUAUCAAGAUCAGUGAAAAAAAUUGUGGUUGUGAUUGUUGGUAUACUUAAGCAGCUCUUAUGCACGCCAUCAUGAGGGGUGGCUGUGGCUCAGCAGUUGCAUCUCUUAACGCAGAAUGUAAAGGUUGAUUCCCCAGGUGCCACUGUCCACAUACAGUUUUUCAUUGUUCAAAACACUUGACCCUAAUCAGUGCCACCGAUGUGUGAAUGGGAUUAGAUGAUACUGACAGGCGCUUUACACAGCAGCCUCUUCCAUCAGUGUAUGAAUGAGUGAAUGUGUAAAAGCACCGAGUAGCAAGAAGACUUGAAAAGUGCUUUUAUAAGCGCAGCCCAUUUACCAUUUAUCUCCUACAGCAUACUGAAACUCGACAUUUAUUCAUAAGUGACGAUUUUCCUUUUUCAGUUUUUCCCUCUUGAACAAGUAUGAAGGCGUCUUUUCAUCCAAGCUGUGGAUUUUGUGGUUUUGAGUUCAGACAUUUAAUUCCAAAUUUUCAUGUGCGUACUGUGGAAAACUCUUUUUAUUUCCAAGCUGUGUUAACGCAGCAGCUGGUCAAAACUCACUAAACCAAUUUUGCUGUCUUUCCCCCCGUGUCUGCCACCCCGCCUGUCUGUCUUUCUCUCUGACUGUGUGCUUGUGUGUGUGUGUUUGUAUUUAUUGUGCAGCAAGGGCCUGUAAAGUCAGUGAGCCUGAUGACCAAAAAGUUUGUCAGCACCCAGGAACCCCUGAAGCCCAUCAUCAUCUGGACCUCUAUCAUAAACCCAAGGUUUAUAGGAUGUUUGGGUCUAGACAUGCUCACUGACACCUCAGUCUUGAAAGAAAGUCCUAGAAGAGAUUUGGUGCGACAGUAAAGUUGAAGGAUCCGUUUAAGAGAUUACUUGCAUGUUGAAGGUUUCAGCAUUAAAGCUGUGCAGUGAUAGUGGAUCUUGCCAGCAUGAUAGUGAAGUUUAUAUCUCUGAGUUCCCCUAUAAUCAGCUGCUGCAGCAUGUAUUUAUACACAGGUUUAACAAAAAGUGACAUUAGGAUCCAGAAAAGAAACAGAAUACUUUGUAAAGAAAUAAAUAAAUCAAAGGAAUAAAUAUCAACCAUCUCUGAACUUUGUUUUUUUAUCAGUCAUGGGAGCUUAAAUCUAUCAAAAGUAUCAAAAUAACAUACAUACUAUACAAAAAAAUAAAAAAAAUCUGUGAAAAAAAUAAAAUAAAAUUCGACAAAAAACAUUGAAGCAAAACAAUUUUUGAAAGAGAAUAAAAGAUUGUGUGUAUGUGAGAGUGAGUUGCCUGCUAAUAAGCGCCACAAUUUAUCUUGCAUUUUAUUAUUGCUCACAAAAUGAUAACUGAACAAACUGGAACCAAAUGAAUGCUAAAAAUUAGAGGAGUCAUUUUUGUUCACAAACAGGAAAAAAAAGAAAAAAAUACAUUGAUUUUAUUCUAAUUGGAUAAAAUCUAAUGGCAACACAGAUUAAAGUGUCCUGCAAUGCUGAUGUGUAUGUUUCUGCACGUUUUAGAUAUAACCUCAUGAAAGAGAUUUGUUUGGAUGGCAUGGUACAUAUGUGCUAAUAUAUAAAUAUAAAAAAAAACAACUCUUGUUUUGUCAAGACUUAAGGAUCAUAUCGUACCUUAAACGAACAGUUCAUGCAUUUUUUGCAGCCUUUUGAGAGGAAGCCCCUUGGUAAUAUUCAGGACACAUACAAGUUAUAGUAUCAGCCUAUUUGGUCGCAAAUUAAUGUUUUCAUAAUUUGCUGACAAAACCAUUUUUGGGGGUACGAAGUAUUUAUUUACACAUCCAGUUUUCAAACAUGGGCACAAAGUAUCAAAAUUACGCAUACAGACAUUUGACAGCAAUGGAACUCCAUAAAAAACGGCCACAACGUAGAUUUACUAGAAAUCAGGGUUUUCACUGACAACAGCACACGAUAAAUAAGGAUUUUGUGCUGCAAAUCAUGCAAAGCUACUCCACGUGUCCCAGAUUGACAUAGUGAAAUGUAAAAAAAAAGAUUAUAAUAGGUCUCCUCUAGCUUCAUUUAUUAUUUACGUUUCAGGACACACCUGCAGUCCUGCACAGGAUCUGUGAUGACUAACAGCCUGUGAACCUGGCAUCAUAGACAGAAGACUAUGUAGGGCUGUGCACGAUCAUAUCACAUUGCAAAACUUCAUAGUCUAUAUUAAUAUAAUGAGACAGAUAAUUAUAUUUAAGGACUGUAAUUGUAAUAACUGUAAAUAAUUGUUACUGUAAUUGCUCUUUGGUUGUGUCUGAACAUGUGUGUAUUAAAGAGAGAGUGCACACGUGAUAGAGAGCUUGGUGAUGGUCUCGAUCUGCAGUUUUUGGCCCAUGCAGGGCUGAGACUCAGUUUCACUGUAUCUGAAAUACACUAUAUCUCCUUUUGACAGGGAGCGCUGCUGCACACAUGAGUGACUGUGUGGUGUAGUGAAGAAGAUAACAAUGACACAUUUAGUCUUGAUGUACGAUGGGGCCCUUUGUGUAAAAAGAAAAACUAGCAACUCAUGCUAUAUAUUAUGUAUUGAUUGUCAAAUAUUGAUGCUUGGGUAUAACAGAGAAAAAAAAUCCGCUUUUGGCAUUGGGUCCACAAGGGUGCUGCUGAUAUCGGUAUUCUCACAGUUACCACUUCAAAGUCAUCAAAGAAGCACUACACAAAAAAAGCCCAAAAAGCUGCUGGUUAUACUCAUUAAGCUCAGUUUAUUAUUAUUCUUUUUUUAAAAAGUACAAACAACAUUAGUAAAUAAAGUCACCUACAACGGGCCCAAAGUUAUCAAAAAUGAAGUCGUGCUUUUAUUAUCAUAACAUCUUAAAAGGAUCCAAGGGGAGCCUGCGGCAAGUGCUUUCCAUGUUUAAACAUGGGCAAGCUCUGUCAUAACACCCCUGCAGCACCCCCCAAAAGUUCAAAGCUCCUGCUUUCAUACUUUGUCAUGAAUGCAGCUCAGGAAUUUGUAUUUUUUUGUGUAUGGCUCUUUGUAUUAUUUUUUUUGGAAAACAUCACCACCGGGGAUUAAUGGAAGCAAGGCUACUGCACAAACAAUGAACUCAAAUCCAAAUGUUGGUGCAAGGAGAGGAAGGAUGAUGCAUCAAGUCUGAACAUAUUUUCAUGAAAGGGAGUCAGUCUCAGGUUUGAUGAUUGGGAAAUCAGGAGCUGCCUGGCCCAUUAACAUACUCUGAGUUAUGAGAAAAUAUAUAGACUCAUAGAAAUAAGUCAGUUGGUCAAACAGGUCAUCAGGGUCGGUUUAUGCUUUAGGGUAGCGGCCUUGAUACUUGAGUAUCCAAGUCUUAUGACUCAGCUCAAAAGGUCACAACAAAAAAGGGAGACACACACCAGGUAAAAGUCCAAAUAACUCUUUAUUAAACCAGAUUAAACCACAUCAAAACAAAUGAACUGAACACUAGAUGACACUAUAGGGGCAUCACACCUUGCAUAAGACAAUAUUUGGAAAACAUUACUUACAAAGCAUUGAAAACCUCUGUGUGGACAACUCUAGUCUGUGAUGAAAUGUUCUUCAUCAAAAUAUUACAAUAACAGAGUGGCCCUUGAAGGUUUGAAGAAAUGGAUUAGAACAACUGUUUCACUCUGGGAUUUUUCAAGUGGACAUCUCCAAUCAUGCACGCUCUAGUCAUUUGGUUUAAUGACACCCAAAAAUGGCUCAAAGUCAUCCUUUAGAGUCCAUUGUCCAACCCCCUUCACAUCCUCUUAGUGGUACUGAUCGCACACCAAUCCACAGUAGACAGUUAUCAACCUAACACCCCUCAUCAGUAUUACAGCUAUCCUGUAAUUCCUGAGAACUCUUCUAUGAAAGGUGCUCUUAAAUGUGAAGGUGCAGUCUUUCAUUGACCCAGCUUUACAUGUCCUUUUGAAACUGGACAACCUAGAUUUUCUAUCUUGGAUGAUUAUUUUUCAAGAGGAAGGAUAGGAGGCGUACAAACUAGUUUAGGAGUUGUUCUAUACGUGAUCCUGCCUGAUGAGUGUACAUUUAGUUCUAGUCUGCAAAGCAACUUGAGACACUUUGUUCUAGCUAACAGAUAGUGCUGGGGCCAUGGCCAGUAUUACAACUAGUUUGCAGAGUUUUAAUGACACACAGGGACUAUAAGAAUGUUUUACCUCUCUGUCCAAUAGAACAGCCAGGCAAGAGUGCUGAACACCAAACACCAGCCUGGGUUGAUUUGUGUGAAUACAAGCUGUAUGAUGACGAUCAAUCAUAUUAUCUUAUUUUUCUUUUGUACUAGUUAUUUUUGGCAAUCAUGUUAUUUUACAUUUAAGAGAUUGUAUCUGUCUGAGAUGGUUGUAUGAGGAAUUUGUUCAUGUCAUGUAAGUGUGCUUACCUGAAUCCUGCUCAGCUUGGCCCCUUUAUUGACAAACUAGCGUAAUUAGUCUACCCUGCCGAAGACAGGUGCUUGUGAAUUUCCCAGUUUUGUGAAUUUCCCAGUUUGGGAUCAAUAAAGUAUAUCUAUCUAUCUAUCUCAGCUGCGUAAUUCAACUAUUUUUUAGAAAUUUUGACCCAAACAAAUUGUUGUAAGUGUAAGGCCUGACACCACAAAUUAUGGCCAGAAAAUUCAAUUUUUUUCUAGAGCUGCAAUGUUUAUUUCACUUACUACUGAAAAAAUCUUAAAAUUUAACAAAUAUAUUUUAUUUAUUUCAUUUGAUACAUCAGAUGUUUCUGGAAACAGAUAAACUACAAGAGGACACUUUUAUCAUUUAUCAGACUGUAUUCAGGUGUUUUUUAGUAAUUUGUAUAUAAAAGUAUGUAUCAAACAUGAUUACAAAAGGCAUUAAAGGGCUAACUUUCGCUAUAGAAAAACUCAGUCAGUGUGAUUACAUGCAGUUUUAAAAAUUGAUUUAUUUCCCUACAAACGAAGAAAUACGAAACUUUCCACAGCUGUAAAAAUGACAGUAUUUUGACCUUGCUAGCUUGUUUUGCUGGCUGUUCUUAUAUGUUAUACAUCAACUGUGACAUGGCCCGAAAGUAACAAGCUGUAAGGGGGCAUGUCGCCGCCAACCAUAGCGGAGGCUGACAACACUUCUUGCCUAUGGCUUGUAAACUGGGACAAGGACAGUGGUCACCCAAUCAAGCUUAACCAUAGCUUGACUGAACUGUGCAUGUAAACGGACUAAUUAUUUUGAGAUGAAUAAACACAUAGCCUACAUGUUCUUCUGCCUGCAGCGCACUGUUCAGCUAGUUAGGUCGGGUGGGUGAUUGAGCCUUUUAAAGCAUAGCACAAAUAAAAAAACAGUUUAUUAUUUUGGUAUUUUUGAAAUAUUUCGAUUUAUCAUCAGAGAAAAUACUGUUUUUUUUUAAAUGUGAAGAGCGAGAGUAGACAUUCCUGCAUAUACUUUGGAAAGCUCUGGUUUGUGCUUACUGGUGAACUGUCCUUAAUCUACGCAUAAUGUUUCAACUAUAAGCUGUAUGUAUAAAAAUGACCCAGGAAAUCCAAUUACAACUGACAAUAGAGCCUCAGUUAUGACUCAUACUGGCAUGAUGGUACGGGGACCAGAUUUGGAUGAGGAAAUGGAGGAAUCUGAAGGCUCGCUUUUUCAUAAAUGAAUUGUCCAGUUCGUCGAAGUAACCUCAUUUGGAUGAAAUUUAAUCACACUGAAAUAAAGGGGCAGACUAAUAUGUGAUGAAAUUGUGUGAUCUCUUUAGGGCACAGUAUGAUGCUAUUGUUAGUAGCACCAUGGACUUAUAUAAUUGAAACAAAUUAUACCACAAGUUAGGCUUUAAUUGAUUUUUGUUGUGUCUUUGUGUCAUUUAAUCUCUCUUGCGAAGCCCCACAAAGUGACAUUUUUCAUCUUGUGCUGACAAGAUCAUUUUUGAAUGUGUAUAUAACGAGAUAAAAAUAUAAUUAAAGCUGGACUUCAGGGACUCUGUGAUUUUACGGCAUUAUUAAUAUAUCACAACUCAUGGUGAAUCUCUAUAUUGUUAUGUUGAUUAUGGCAAAUAUUAAAAUAUUGUCCUAAAUGAACUCCCUAAAGUCCCAGCAAACCCCUCUUUUCCCUGGCAGAUCUUCUUCCUAAAUCCUCUCUCUUAGCUAGAAUGAAAUUGAUUGAGUGUUUUAGAGCCCAGAGAAUCAAAUGCAGCACUUAGCAUGAGUUUGAUCAUUCUUUGAGUAAGUCAAGUGCCGUCUCAUUCCCACUGUCUUUGUGCCUGAUCACAGACAAUAACAAAAUGUCUCUACCUGGGAGAGGCUUUUUUGUGAUUUCAAGGGCCUGUGACACCUUCAGACACCUUAAAAUCGCAGGUAUCACUCUUAUAAAGUGUGAUGAGCUUGCUGUCAGUUUUCCCCCAAAGGAUCUAACUUUGGAACAAUACCUGUGAUUUAGACUGGCCAUCACUCUCUUGCUUUCUUCUGCUCUGUCUGUCUGUCUGUCUUUCUCUUUCACACUCACUCACACACGCACAUACACAUGCGGGCGCUGUGGCCCGUGGGGAUAUUUUUCUUUUGGCUCGGGGAUCAGAAGGAUGUGGAGCUGUGAAUGCUUCAGCCCCGCUCUCCUCUUGUGUGCGCUCUUGCUCACACUGUGUUGGGAAUUAAUGACUUCUCUGUGGCCCAUCAACAGCAGCGAACACGUGGGGAGAAAACAGAAGAGAUGGAGUUGGGGUGGGUGCAACUAGGGGAGUAGAAAAUAACAGAUAACCGUGGGACCUUAGCUUGGCCGUGUGCAGUAUACUGCGGCAUGGAGAGGAGGGAGGGGAUAAUUCUGAAAGGCGACCAGAGAGCAAUAGGAAUGAAGAGGAAAGAAACAAUAAGUUGGUGCUGAGUCAGAUAGGUGAUAUUGUGGGAAGAGGUAAUUUCAUUUUGGCUUCCCACUAGGGACCCAAGAGACCAAAGUGAGUUUUAACACUUCCUGCCCUUCACCU
This is a non-coding RNA of Xyrichtys novacula (pearly razorfish), 11296 nucleotides long. NCBI's taxonomy places the organism in Eukaryota, Metazoa, Chordata, Actinopteri, Labriformes, Labridae. The record is from the annotation of a GenBank genome assembly.